GCCGGGAUGGUGAAACUGGUAGACGCAGCGGACUCAAAAUCCGCCGGGCUUCGGCCCUUGAGAGUUCGAUUCUCUCUCCCGGUACCA
Molecule: transfer RNA, 87 nt
Filed under: Desulfovibrio sp.
Lineage: Bacteria; Pseudomonadati; Thermodesulfobacteriota; Desulfovibrionia; Desulfovibrionales; Desulfovibrionaceae
Description: tRNA-Leu
Rfam family: tRNA
About the family: Transfer RNA (tRNA) molecules are approximately 80 nucleotides in length. Their secondary structure includes four short double-helical elements and three loops (D, anti-codon, and T loops). Further hydrogen bonds mediate the characteristic L-shaped molecular structure. tRNAs have two regions of fundamental functional importance: the anti-codon, which is responsible for specific mRNA codon recognition, and the 3' end, to which the tRNAs corresponding amino acid is attached (by aminoacyl-tRNA synthetases). tRNAs cope with the degeneracy of the genetic code in two manners: having more than one tRNA (with a specific anti-codon) for a particular amino acid; and 'wobble' base-pairing, i.e. permitting non-standard base-pairing at the 3rd anti-codon position.
Source: RNAcentral